Molecule: long non-coding RNA, 790 nt
Filed under: Phaseolus vulgaris (common bean)
Lineage: Eukaryota; Viridiplantae; Streptophyta; Magnoliopsida; Fabales; Fabaceae
Description: long non-coding RNA (PVUL_LNC003357)
Source: RNAcentral
CCAAAGUAUGAGUUUCAAAACAUAAUAAUUGAAAGUAUAAUCACUGCACAGGGUACCAACAUAGCCAGAUCUGAUUCAUUACAAAUUGUUACAUGGAGUUAUACAAGUAGGUGCUAGAACAAAUAUUGGUUUUUUCAAGGCGAAAUCGAUUGUGGAAUAACGAUGUUUCCAAUGUUGUUGUGCCAUGGGUCAGCCAAGUGAGUAGCCAAGUUCUCCAAAGGUCCAGUUCCAGGAUAAGCUGAUUGUUGAACACAAAUUCCCACAAAAGCCAACAGAGCAAGACGUCCUAAACAUUUGACAUACAACAAAAUUUGGUCAAUUUUCUAUGUAACAAACAAAAGAUGUUUUUUCAAAAGCAAGUUUAUCUCAAGGACUAAUUGUUGGAGAUCAUAAGAUUCUUUUAGGAGUUAACUUCAACCUCUAAGUGUUUUUCAACACAUAUCAGAUGCUUAAGAAACUUUAGUAACAUCAAAUAACUGAUGCUUAGGGUCCUUACCAUUCUUAAUUUCUUUGACUUUGUAUUCAUGGAAACUUUUAGGGUCCUUGGAGUAUCCCAAAGGAUCAAAAGCACCACCAGGGUAUUUCUUCUUCUCUGGGUCUUUCUCCAUGCUCCUUUGGUGCUCCACAAAGGAAAUGGCAAGGAAUUCAAUGACCAGAAUGGUGGGUAGUGUGCCCCAUGGAACUGGGUUGCCUAGGUAGGUGGCUUGCCCCCCUGGAACUGCAGCCCAUUCCUGAGCCUUUACCCAGUUUCCUAACCCCAAUGCCUCUGGAACCAAAAUCCCUGGCUGCA